UUCUGGUUUAAGUGUGCAUGAACAGGAUGCAGUCAACAGUCACAGUGGCUGUGACGGGCUGAACCAUGUCCCUACGGAAGCCAUAUUGAGCCCUCACCUCCAGAAUGUGACCUCAUUUGGAAACAGGAUCACUGAUGUGAUUAUUAAGAUGAAGUCCUUUGGACUCUGUGGGAGAAGGCGAGGGUGGGAUGAUUUGAGAGACUGGCACUGAAACAUGUAUAUUACCAUAUGUGAAAUAGAUCGCCAGUCCAUGCUUGAUGCAUGAGACAGGCUGCUCAGGGCCGGUGCCCUCAGGGAUGGAAUGGGGAGGAAGGUGAGAGGAGUGGG
Molecule: long non-coding RNA, 327 nt
Filed under: Capra hircus (goat)
Lineage: Eukaryota; Metazoa; Chordata; Mammalia; Artiodactyla; Bovidae
Description: lncRNA (ENSCHIG00010010708.1)
Source: RNAcentral